Molecule: transfer RNA, 60 nt
Filed under: Dipodomys ordii (Ord's kangaroo rat)
Lineage: Eukaryota; Metazoa; Chordata; Mammalia; Rodentia; Heteromyidae
Rfam family: tRNA
About the family: Transfer RNA (tRNA) molecules are approximately 80 nucleotides in length. Their secondary structure includes four short double-helical elements and three loops (D, anti-codon, and T loops). Further hydrogen bonds mediate the characteristic L-shaped molecular structure. tRNAs have two regions of fundamental functional importance: the anti-codon, which is responsible for specific mRNA codon recognition, and the 3' end, to which the tRNAs corresponding amino acid is attached (by aminoacyl-tRNA synthetases). tRNAs cope with the degeneracy of the genetic code in two manners: having more than one tRNA (with a specific anti-codon) for a particular amino acid; and 'wobble' base-pairing, i.e. permitting non-standard base-pairing at the 3rd anti-codon position.
Source: Rfam by way of RNAcentral
GUGGUUCAGUGGUAGAGUGUUUGCCUUGCAUGCAUAAGGCCCUGGGUUCGAUUCCCCAGC